This 649-nucleotide ribosomal RNA is filed under the name uncultured bacterium. Its description in RNAcentral is "bacterial SSU rRNA". It matches the Rfam family "Bacterial small subunit ribosomal RNA", at positions 141 to 808 of the family's 1533-position model. The record is from RNAcentral.
GGAUAACACUUAGAAAUAGGUGCUAAUACCGCAUAAGCGCACAGCUUCGCAUGAAGCAGUGUGAAAAACUCCGGUGGUAUACGAUGGAUCCGCGUCUGAUUAGCUAGUUGGCGGGGUAAAGGCCCACCAAGGCGACGAUCAGUAGCCGGCCUGAGAGGGUGAACGGCCACAUUGGGACUGAGACACGGCCCAAACUCCUACGGGAGGCAGCAGUGGGGAAUAUUGCACAAUGGGGGAAACCCUGAUGCAGCGACGCCGCGUGAGUGAAGAAGUAUUUCGGUACGUAAAGCUCUAUCAGCAGGGAAGAAAAUGACGGUACCUGACUAAGAAGCCCCGGCUAACUACGUGCCAGCAGCCGCGGUAAUACGUAGGGGGCAAGCGUUAUCCGGAUUUACUGGGUGUAAAGGGAGCGUAGACGGCAGCGCAAGUCUGGAGUGAAAUCCCAUGGCUUAACCAUGGAACUGCUUUGGAAACUGUGCAGCUAGAGUGCAGGAGAGGUAAGCGGAAUUCCUAGUGUAGCGGUGAAAUGCGUAGAUAUUAGGAGGAACACCAGUGGCGAAGGCGGCUUACUGGACUGUAACUGACGUUGAGGCUCGAAAGCGUGGGGAGCAAACAGGAUUAGAUACCCUGGUAGUCCACGCUGUAAACG